Molecule: ribosomal RNA, 443 nt
Filed under: uncultured bacterium
Lineage: Bacteria
Description: partial 16S ribosomal RNA
Rfam family: Bacterial small subunit ribosomal RNA
Source: RNAcentral
CCUACGGGAGGCUGCAGUGGGGAAUAUUGGGCAAUGGGCGCAAGCCUGACCCAGCAACGCCGCGUGAAGGAAGAAGGCUUUCGGUUUGUAAACUUCUUUUCUGAGGGACGAAGAAAGUGACGGUACCCCAGGAAUCAGCCACGGCUAACUACGUGCCAGCAGCCGCGGUAAUACGUAGGUGGCAGGCGUUCUCCGGAUUUAUUGGGUGUAAAGGGCGUGUAGGCGGGAAAGCAAGUCAGAUGUGAAACCUCAGGGCUCAACCCUGAGACUGCAUUUGAAACUGUUUUUCUUGAGUGCUGGAGAGGUAAGCGGAAUUCCGAGUGUAGCGGUGAAAUGCGUAGAUAUAAGGAGGAACACCAGUGGCGAAGGCGGAUUGCUGGACUGUAAAUGACGCUGAGGCGCGAAAGCGUGGGGAGCAAACAGGAUUAGAUACCCUAGUAGUC